AGUGAACGCUGGCGGUAGGCCUAACACAUGCAAGUCGAACGGCAGCACAGUAAGAGCUUGCUCUUACGGGUGUCGAGUGGCGGACGGGUGAGGAAUACAUCGGAAUCUACUUUUUCGUGGGGGAUAACGUAGGGAAACUUACGCUAAUACCGCAUACGACCUACGGGUGAAAGCAGGGGAUCUUCUGACCUUGCGCGAUUGAAUGAGCCGAUGUCGGAUUAGCUAGUUGGCGGGGUAAAGGCCCACCAAGGCGACGAUCCGUAGCUGGUCUGAGAGGAUGAUCAGACACACUGGAACUGAGACACGGUCCAGACUCCUACGGGAGGCAGCAGUGGGGAAUAUUGGACAAUGGGCGCAAGCCUGAUCCAGCCAUACCGCGUGGGUGAAGAAGGCCUUCGGGUUGUAAAGCCCUUUUGUUGGGAAAGAAAAGCAGCAGGUUAAUACCCCGCUGUUCUGACGGUACCCAAAGAAUAAGCGCCGGCUAACUUCGUG
This 492-nucleotide ribosomal RNA is filed under the name uncultured bacterium. Its description in RNAcentral is "partial 16S ribosomal RNA". It matches the Rfam family "Bacterial small subunit ribosomal RNA", at positions 29 to 507 of the family's 1533-position model. The record is from RNAcentral.